AGUGAACGCUGGCGGUAGGCCUAACACAUGCAAGUCGAACGGCAGCACAGUAAGAGCUUGCUCUUACGGGUGGCGAGUGGCGGACGGGUGAGGAAUACAUCGGAAUCUACUUUUUCGUGGGGGAUAACGUAGGGAAACUUACGCUAAUACCGCAUACGACCUACGGGUGAAAGCAGGGGAUCUUCGGACCUUGCGCGAUUGAAUGAGCCGAUGUCGGAUUAGCUAGUUGGCGGGGUAAAGGCCCACCAAGGCGACGAUCCGUAGCUGGUCUGAGAGGAUGGAUAGGCACCACGGAACUGAAGAAACGGCCAGAAUCCUACGGGGAGGAGGCGUGGGGAAUAUUUGGCAAUGGGCGGAAAGCUUAUCCAAGCCUACCGGGGGGGGUGAGGAAGGCUUCCGGGUUGAAAGCCCUUUUUUUUGGGAAAAAAAACAAGAAGGUUAAAACCCGGUUGUUCGACCGUAACCAAAAGAUUAGGCCCCGGUAACUUCGGU
Molecule: ribosomal RNA, 492 nt
Filed under: uncultured bacterium
Lineage: Bacteria
Description: partial 16S ribosomal RNA
Rfam family: Bacterial small subunit ribosomal RNA
Source: RNAcentral